This 257-nucleotide ribosomal RNA is filed under the name uncultured bacterium. Its description in RNAcentral is "partial 16S ribosomal RNA". It matches the Rfam family "Bacterial small subunit ribosomal RNA", at positions 524 to 776 of the family's 1533-position model. The record is from RNAcentral.
UACGUAGGAGGCGAGCGUUGUCCGGAGUUACUGGGCGUAAAGGGUGCGCAGGCGGCGGUUCGCGUGGAUAGAUGAAAUCUCCUGGCUUACCUGGGGAGGAUGGUAUCCAGACGGGGAUCGCUUGAGGGUCGGGAGAGGGGCGUGGAAUUCCGGGUGGAGCGGUGAAAUGCGUAGAUAUCGAGAGGAACACCUGCGGCGAAGGCGGGUUGCUGGGCUGACACUGACGCUGAUGCGCGAAAGCUAGGGGAGCGAACGGG